RNAcentral lists this unclassified non-coding RNA (253 nucleotides) under uncultured Oligoflexaceae bacterium. Its description in RNAcentral is "contains 16S-23S intergenic spacer region". It matches the Rfam family "Bacterial small subunit ribosomal RNA", at positions 524 to 776 of the family's 1533-position model. Lineage: Bacteria; Pseudomonadati; Bdellovibrionota; Oligoflexia; Oligoflexales; Oligoflexaceae. The record is from RNAcentral.
UACGUAGGGUGCAAGCGUUGUUCGGAAUUACUGGGCGUAAAGGGCGCGUAGGCGGGUCUGUAAGUCGAUUGUGAAAGCCCCGGGCUUAACCUGGGAACAGCAGUCGAAACUGCAGGUCUUGGAUACCUGAGAGGAUGGCGGAAUUCCCGGUGUAGAAGUGAAAUUCGUAGAUAUCGGGAAGAACACCUGAGGCGAAGGCGGCUGUCUGGCGGUGUAUCGACGCUGAGGCGUGAAAGCGUGGGGAGCAAACAGG